UAAAAUAAAAGCGAUGCGGGAAAUAAAUAAAAUAAAAGCGAUGCAGGAAAUAAAUAAAAUAAAGGCGAUGCGGGAAAUAAAUAAAAUAAAAGCGAUGCGGGAAAUAAAUAAAUAAAGAGAUAUAUAAGAACCUGCUCCAAACGGAGGCUUGGAUUCUGGUACAAAAAUAAACCUCCGACUCCUGAAGCUAAAGACGACAGCAACUUGAAGUGACCUAACUCAAUCUCAC
Molecule: long non-coding RNA, 229 nt
Filed under: Lathyrus oleraceus (garden pea)
Lineage: Eukaryota; Viridiplantae; Streptophyta; Magnoliopsida; Fabales; Fabaceae
Description: Pisum sativum (pea) long non-coding RNA (PSAT_LNC037681)
Source: RNAcentral